Manis pentadactyla (Chinese pangolin) is the source of this 1393-nucleotide long non-coding RNA. RefSeq lists it as uncharacterized. The transcript has 5 exons. The record is from RefSeq and is a predicted model, not a curated record. NCBI's taxonomy places the organism in Eukaryota, Metazoa, Chordata, Mammalia, Pholidota, Manidae.
ACUCACGGUGGACGCAUCUCUGCUUUCAUCUCGGCUGAGGGUCCCCCCGUCCUGCCCUGGGAACGGCGGCAAAAGGAGAGCUUUCAGAGCCAGAUGCUCACUGUGCGUCCCACAGUGGAAGUGGCUCCGUCUUCUCCUCCUCAGGGGUCCUGAGCGGAUCUGAGCAGGGCCCGGCGGUGUGGCCACCCUGCAGGGUGUGCGUGUCAAAGCCCAACCCCCACCUGAAUUGACGAAGAAACCGGUGAGCUGGUCUAGAGGGGCUGCCUGGUGCCAACACUGGACGGAGGCCACUUGAAUGAAAGCUCUCAGCCCUGCUUCUGUCUACCGCAUGGAGAAGCUGCCCAUGGCCACAUGUGUGAGCCCUGGAGCUGGAGUCACACCCAGGUCCUCCAAAGGUGUGGGAGCCUCACGCUCUGGAAGGAUGCUCCACCCCACUGCCUUACAGACAGUGACGCAGAGUUGAUGAAGAACAUUUAACCUUGACACCCCAAAGGGCAGCUGUGAUAGGGCCCAGUGAUGAGAACCAGGAGCAGGGGGCAUCUACACCGGACUCCGGGAAGCCUGUUGUCUUAUUCAUGUAAGGUCUUCAAUAUUAUCUUGGUGCGCUAUUCAAAGUCUUCUUAUGCACACACUGUCAGCAGAACUUUGUAAGCCCCUGAGUGGUGCCUGUUUAGGUCAGCGUCGUAGUCGUCUCAAGCAGGAAAUCAGUUAAUUUCAAAAACACUUUGAUUUUUUUCACCUAGUUGAUGGCAUCUAAGUACAGCAUCUGGAUAUUUAUUACAUGUGAACUGUCAAUAGUGCUGUAGAUUCAGUUAAAAAUAAAGGCCGCCUUCAACACUGAAAUUUUGUUUUGGAGGUGAUAAAAGGAAGCCAAAGUUUGGAGGAGUGCAACACUAUGGUUAAAAAUACAGUAUUUUGACUAAAUGAAGAAACCCAUUAUUAUUGGGAAUUUUUGCGGUGCCCACAAGCUCCUAAUUGCAUUUAAACCAGCUUGAUAUGCAGCCAAUAGGGAAGGAAGGUAUAGUUGUCAAAAUGUACAAAUAUUUUUAUACACGUGCAGAAUGACUGAACUACACAAUUUCUUGCAAAGGUAUGUAAUUAAAGGAAAAAAACCUUCAGCGCAGCAGCUUGCAGUUUCUCUGCUGCUUGUUUCUGGAGCUCAGAAAUGUCUGGGCCUUUGAAGAAUUCCUGUGACGGCACUGAAUGUCCUUGAAGACGAGUCUCUAGAAUUUGGUUAUAUUUUAUUUAAACUCAUUUUGAGAUUUUUAAUCUACCUAUUCGAUAAUCAGAAUGCCAAAGCCCUUGAGCUUUUGAAUCUUUAAGAAUCGUUAAUGAUUGAAGACAAAGUUCACAGAGUUAGUACAACGAUGCUCACCCCUCAGGAAGCGAGGAG